This 423-nucleotide ribosomal RNA is filed under the name uncultured Prevotella sp. Its description in RNAcentral is "bacterial SSU rRNA". It matches the Rfam family "Bacterial small subunit ribosomal RNA", at positions 355 to 774 of the family's 1533-position model. Lineage: Bacteria; Pseudomonadati; Bacteroidota; Bacteroidia; Bacteroidales; Prevotellaceae. The record is from RNAcentral.
UGAGGAAUAUUGGUCAAUGGACGGGAGUCUGAACCAGCCAAGUAGCGUGCAGGAUGACGGCCUUAUGGGUUGUAAACUGCUUUUGUGCGGGGAUAAAGUGUGGGACGCGUCCCAUAUUGCAGGUACCGCAUGAAUAAGGACCGGCUAAUUCCGUGCCAGCAGCCGCGGUAAUACGGAAGGUCCGGGCGUUAUCCGGAUUUAUUGGGUUUAAAGGGAGCGUAGGCCGGAGAUUAAGCGUGUUGUGAAAUGCCGCGGCUCAACCGUGGCACUGCAGCGCGAACUGGUUUUCUUGAGUACGCACAACGUGGGCGGAAUUCGUGGUGUAGCGGUGAAAUGCUUAGAUAUCACGAAGAACUCCGAUUGCGAAGGCAGCUCACGGGAGCGCAACUGACGCUGAAGCUCGAAAGUGCGGGGUAUCGAACA